CCAGCUUUUAUGAACAAGUUCAUGACCCUAAAUAAGGAAAUGUCAUAAAAUUUCAUGAAGAAAAAGAUAGGUUAACCAGUAUUUUGGUCAACACAAAAACAGAAAUGGGUCAAAUUGACCCUUAACAUAAUACAAGGGUUAAAU
Molecule: long non-coding RNA, 144 nt
Organism: Sander lucioperca (pikeperch)
Lineage: Eukaryota; Metazoa; Chordata; Actinopteri; Perciformes; Percidae
Exons: 3
Source: RefSeq, a predicted model, not a curated record